AACACACGCUUUGGUUUCAUGACAUGCCGUGGAUGAUGAGAAAAGCAACUCUACUGAAGCUUUCCUGCAUGCUUUUGUCAUAUUCUUAUUGCUUUGGCUUUGACUGGAAGCUGAGUCACCGGAUCCUGAGGAUUAUUCUGCACCGCCGUCAUGUUCAGUGAACCCCAGUGAUUCACUCACAUCCUGAUUUCACUCAUUCACUUCAACCCGCAUCACUGCCCACAAAACAUCACAGCAGGUAAGAAGGAAACCCUGCUUCAUCUACAGGAAUAGAAGCAUAAAUGGAUGGAAUAUGGGCCGUGUUACAUCAGAGGGGAAAAUGAUCUCAUUCUUUCCUUUUUUUCCUCCAAAUGUUGACGUCAGACCUCCACAGAGCCUACAUGAUUGGUACAAGAUGUUUGGUUCAUCAAAGAUGCUUAUAUGAGACUGAUGUCAAUGCUUUGAAGACUGGUAUAAACAUCAAAUAAAUGGCACAGAAAUGAGAAUCUUAAGUUCUACUGUCACAUUGAGGGGAAAACAAAUAAACAUGUCAUAUUUUCACAAAUAUAUUGUUUCUGACUCAAUUAUAAAUUGCCAUUUAAAAAUGCAUGUUUG
Molecule: long non-coding RNA, 594 nt
Organism: Carassius auratus (goldfish)
Lineage: Eukaryota; Metazoa; Chordata; Actinopteri; Cypriniformes; Cyprinidae
Exons: 3
Source: RefSeq, a predicted model, not a curated record